This is a long non-coding RNA of Manacus vitellinus (golden-collared manakin), 263 nucleotides long. RefSeq lists it as uncharacterized. The transcript has 3 exons. The record is from RefSeq and is a predicted model, not a curated record. NCBI's taxonomy places the organism in Eukaryota, Metazoa, Chordata, Aves, Passeriformes, Pipridae.
GAGCAAUGAAGUUCUGAUUUACCUCAAGCGGUUCUUUCCUGAUGAAGAUCACAAUCUGCUAGAGGACACAUAGUAGUAACUAGAAGACACAGAUGUAUCUUUUGGAACCAGAAAGUUGUGAAAACAGCAGUUCUUCUGCAACUGAGACCUCCUAACAACAUAUUUUAAUAACUACUUAUACAAUUGAGAUCGCCACCCUCGCAUCUCCACGAUCAGCCUGCUUUGUUGUCUAAUCCUGAAUUUAUGACUUUGCUCUGGUUUUC